CCGGCGACCGGCGCACGGGUGAGUAACACGUAUGCAACCUGGCCGUCACAGGUGGAUAACCGGAAGAAAUUCCGACUAAUACAGCAUAACACUCCUGAGGGACAUCCUUCGGGAGUCAAAGGAGGCAACUCCGGUGACGGAUGGGCAUGCGGCGCAUUAGGUAGUUGGUAGGGUAACGGCCUACCAAGCCGACGAUGCGUAGGGGUUCUGAGAGGAAGGUCCCCCACACUGGAACUGAGACACGGUCCAAACUCCUACGGGAGGCAGCAG
This 270-nucleotide ribosomal RNA is filed under the name uncultured bacterium. Its description in RNAcentral is "partial 16S ribosomal RNA". It matches the Rfam family "Bacterial small subunit ribosomal RNA", at positions 88 to 354 of the family's 1533-position model. The record is from RNAcentral.